This 1314-nucleotide long non-coding RNA is filed under the name Homo sapiens (human). RNAcentral describes it as "HSALNT0339973". Lineage: Eukaryota; Metazoa; Chordata; Mammalia; Primates; Hominidae. The record is from RNAcentral.
UUCAAGGAUUUUAUUUAAGGUAACAUCCUAACAGGAGAUUUUUGAACCACAAAGGUUCCAGCCCUUAAUGGUGAGAUUUAGUGCCUUACAGUCACUGGUAUAUCCUUGGGAUGCUAGAUAUUAUCGUGGCUAGCAUAAGACCAUAGGGUCAACUUUGCUUCCCUUGACAUUCUGGAAUGUGUCCACACCAGGCACAGGAGCCGGAAUGGCUGUGCCUUCUGUGAGGUCACCAAUAUCAUCAGAGGAUGCUCCUUUUAGGGGAUGCAGGUAGCCAAUGAACAGCCAGAGCUGAAGAGGCACCAUGAAGCUGAAAGGUCACCUUGGGUUCCUUUGAAGGGAAGGAUACAGAGUCCAGCCAGUGCUCAUUCCUGUUGGUGGUCUUCUUCCAGAAGCCUAAAGUAGUGGUUCUCAAACUUGAGCACUGGCUUUGAGAGCUUCUCAAGUUUCCAGAUGAUGCUGAUGCUGCUGGUCCAGGGACCAGAAUUUGAGAAGCACUGACCAAGAGGAUGAAUGAUGGAGUACGCUUUGCAGCAGAGACCAACAGCAGCCACCCGGACUCAGUUGACUUUCUGCUUACUCUGGCUUAUUUAUUCUCCAUAUGCUCCCCAUCAUCACUGAAGUAUCCUGGAUCAUUCAUUUAUGGAGGGAACCACAUUUUUACCUUAUAGGCUAGAGCUCUCUGUGGGAGAGCGGUGGGGUUUUAUAAUUUAUCAACUAUGAGGAGCUCACUAUUUCAUACCCAUGGCUGUUUAGAAUGCUUAAGAGAACACAGAAGCUCCCUGAGGUGCGGCCCUUUUUUAUGCUGGAUCUCCAACACUGGAAGCAAAAGGAAGUCCCAAACAGAAACUAUAUGCAGUGCUGAAUCUACAGUGGCUCUGAGAACUUUUAACUAAUGGGCACUUGUAAAUCUCACAACAUUUCCUACUGGCGUGAAUGCCCUGGGUAAAAUGCUCAUUAAACUGUCAGCCAGCAGAGAGGUGUCGUUGCUGGAAAGAGAGUCACAGCAUCCAGGGGUGGAAAGAGGCCUCCCUGGGCCACCAGGGCCCUCCUCUCCCCCAUUCACCCACCACCAACCCCAGACUCAAACCCUCCUUUCAAAGCCUUUCAGAGGAUGUUACAACUCUCCUUCACCUCCACCAGGAAAUUAUUCUUUUUCUCCAAUCCAAAUAUAUAUAUAUAUAUUCAUGUUUAAUCACUAUUUCUUUUUGUUGGAGAGGAUAUCUUCUAUGAAAAUUGAGAAUGGCUAGCCACUGUCCAUGGUGGACAGUCUUUCAUGUACUUAGAAUCCCUUAUAAAAUUACUCCUGAGUCCUUA